GUGGGGAAUAUUGGACAAUGGGGGGAACCCUGAUCCAGCCAUGCCGCGUGUGUGAAGAAGGCCUUUUGGUUGUAAAGCACUUUAAGCGAGGAGGAGGCUACCGAGAUUAAUACUCUUGGAUAGUGGACGUUACUCGCAGAAUAAGCACCGGCUAACUCUGUGCCAGCAGCCGCGGUAAUACAGAGGGUGCAAGCGUUAAUCGGAUUUACUGGGCGUAAAGCGCGCGUAGGUGGCCAAUUAAGUCAAAUGUGAAAUCCCCGAGCUUAACUUGGGAAUUGCAUUCGAUACUGGUUGGCUAGAGUAUGGGAGAGGAUGGUAGAAUUCCAGGUGUAGCGGUGAAAUGCGUAGGGAUCUGGAGGAAUACCGAUGGCGAAGGCAGCCAUCUGGCCUAAUACUGACACUGAGGUGCGAAAGCAUGGGGAGCAAACAGGAUUAGAAACCCCAGUAGUCC
RNAcentral lists this ribosomal RNA (451 nucleotides) under uncultured bacterium. RNAcentral's name for it is "partial 16S ribosomal RNA". It matches the Rfam family "Bacterial small subunit ribosomal RNA", at positions 354 to 796 of the family's 1533-position model. The record is from RNAcentral.